GAUGAACGCUGGCGGCGUGCCUAACACAUGCAAGUCGAACGGAAAGACGAGGAGCUUGUUCCUUUGACGUUAGCGGAGGGCGGGUGUGUAACACGUGGAUCACAUACUUAUAUUUCGGGGAUAAUCACGGAAAACCGGCGAUUAUACCGGAGAAUAUAAUGAACCGCAGGGGUCAAUGGAGAAUGUCGGCUUUGGUGUCAGUUAUAGAUGGUUCCAAGCUGGAUUAGCUAGUUGGUAAGGUACCGGCCUACCAAGGCGACGAUGCGUAGCCGAACUGACAGGGUGAUCGCCCACACUGGAACUGAGACACGGUCCAGACUCCUACGGGAGGCAGCAGUGGGGAAUCUGCGGCAAUGGGCGGAAGCCUGACACAGCGAUGCCGAGUGAGUGAUGAAGGCCUUCGGAUCGUAAAGCCCUGUUGUUGGGUAAGAACAGCUGUGGAAUUAGCCAUACCCGUCUUGACGGUACCUAAUCAAAAAGCAACGGCUAACUACGUG
Molecule: ribosomal RNA, 497 nt
Filed under: uncultured bacterium
Lineage: Bacteria
Description: partial 16S ribosomal RNA
Rfam family: Bacterial small subunit ribosomal RNA
Source: RNAcentral